CACUCUUUCGUCUUUCCUUCGCAAUCGCACGUCUAGCUGGUCUGAUAACUCCUAUUGGGUAUACGCAGAGAUGUUAAUUUCCCUCAAUGUUCAGAUGUUCUCCUUGUGAAACAUGUUUCAAAGAGGCUCAGUUGAUGCUAUAUUGCCAGAAUGUGAACAAGGAUUCUAUGUGUUGGUUGGUAAGAGUAUAUCUCCAGCUCAAGCAAUAUAUCUCCAGCUCAAGCAAGUAGAACCCACGAAUGAAAAUCGAGGAUAACUUGCCUCUCUAACUGAAUCAGUUAGAGAGGUCUGUGUAUGUAUAGAUUAUAUAUAUGUUUGUUAAUAGUUGGUUAGGUUGCACUCUUGUAUUAUAAAUACUUAUG
Camellia sinensis is the source of this 362-nucleotide non-coding RNA. The record is from RefSeq and is a predicted model, not a curated record. Lineage: Eukaryota; Viridiplantae; Streptophyta; Magnoliopsida; Ericales; Theaceae.